GAUGAACGCUGGCGGCGCGCCUAACACAUGCAAGUCGAACGAUUAAAGCAUCUUCGGGUGUGUAUAAAGUGGCGAACGGCUGAGUAACACGUGGGCAACCUGCCCCUCUCAUUGGGAUAGCCACGGGAAACCGUGGAUAAUACCGAAUACUUCGGGACUUCCGCAUGGAAGACUCGAGAAAGCUCCGGCGGAGGGGGAUGGGCCCGCGGCCUGUUAGCUUGUUGGUGGGGUAAUGGCCUACCAAGGCAAUGAUGGGUAGCUGGGUUGAGAGACCGACCAGCCAGAUUGGGACUGAGACACGGCCCAGACUCCUACGGGAGGCAGCAGUGGGGAAUCUUGCACAAUGGGCGAAAGCCUGAUGCAGCGACGCCGCGUGCGGGAUGAAGGCCUUCGGGUUGUAAACCGCUUUCAGCAGGGACGAGGCGAAAGUGACGGUACCUGCAGAAGAAGCCCCGGCUAACUACGUG
RNAcentral lists this ribosomal RNA (467 nucleotides) under uncultured bacterium. RNAcentral's name for it is "partial 16S ribosomal RNA". It matches the Rfam family "Bacterial small subunit ribosomal RNA", at positions 28 to 507 of the family's 1533-position model. The record is from RNAcentral.